CUGAGGGAGCAAAGCGCUGCCGGCCUGCUUGUCCCGGACAAGGCGCUGUGCUCCUCCUACAGCAAGCAGUUCACUGCAGCCUAGAUGGGUAAAGACCCUACGUCUCGGCCGUCUCCACCGCCGAGCCUUUCCCAAGCUUGCAGCGUAAAAUCCAGGCCCCGGCGAAGAUGCCCGGGGAAG
Molecule: long non-coding RNA, 180 nt
Organism: Sus scrofa (pig)
Lineage: Eukaryota; Metazoa; Chordata; Mammalia; Artiodactyla; Suidae
Rfam family: TP53 target 1 conserved region 2
Source: Rfam